This 506-nucleotide ribosomal RNA is filed under the name uncultured bacterium. RNAcentral's name for it is "partial 16S ribosomal RNA". It matches the Rfam family "Bacterial small subunit ribosomal RNA", at positions 29 to 523 of the family's 1533-position model. The record is from RNAcentral.
AGUGAACGCUGGCGGUAGGCCUAACACAUGCAAGUCGAACGGCAGCACAGGAGAGCUUGCUCUCUGGGUGGCGAGUGGCGGACGGGUGAGGAAUACAUCGGAAUCUACUCUGUCGUGGGGGAUAACGUAGGGAAACUUACGCUAAUACCGCAUACGACCUACGGGUGAAAGCAGGGGACCUUCGGGCCUUGCGCGAUUGAAUGAUCCGAUGUCGGAUUAGCUAGUUGGCGGGGGAAAGGCCCACCCAGGCGACGAUCCGUAGCUGGGCUUAGAGGAUGAUCAGCCCCACGGGAACUGAGACACGGGCCAGACUCCUACGGGAGGCAGCAGUGGGGAAUAUUGGACAAUGGGCGCAAGCCUGAUCCAGCCAGACCGCGUGGGUGAAGAAGGCCUUCGGGUUGUAAAGCCCUUUUGUUGGGAAAGAAAUCCAGCUGGCUAAUACCCGGUUGGGAUGACGGUACCCAAAGAAUAAGCACCGGCUAACUUCGUGCCAGCCGCCGCUGUAA